Molecule: transfer RNA, 72 nt
Filed under: Escherichia coli
Lineage: Bacteria; Pseudomonadati; Pseudomonadota; Gammaproteobacteria; Enterobacterales; Enterobacteriaceae
Description: tRNA-Gln
Rfam family: tRNA
About the family: Transfer RNA (tRNA) molecules are approximately 80 nucleotides in length. Their secondary structure includes four short double-helical elements and three loops (D, anti-codon, and T loops). Further hydrogen bonds mediate the characteristic L-shaped molecular structure. tRNAs have two regions of fundamental functional importance: the anti-codon, which is responsible for specific mRNA codon recognition, and the 3' end, to which the tRNAs corresponding amino acid is attached (by aminoacyl-tRNA synthetases). tRNAs cope with the degeneracy of the genetic code in two manners: having more than one tRNA (with a specific anti-codon) for a particular amino acid; and 'wobble' base-pairing, i.e. permitting non-standard base-pairing at the 3rd anti-codon position.
Source: RNAcentral
GGGUAUCGCCAAGCGGUAAGGCACCGGAUUCUGAUUCCGGCGUCACAGGUUCGAAUCCCGUCGUAGCCACCA